CUGAGCCUGGGCAUCCAGAGCUUUUCCUGGGGCUCCCCCACCUAGACCUAGGUGGCCCCCCAGGUAGCUGACCUCAGUCUGCAGCUUCUCUGGAAGCUGAACUAUCAUCAUACGGCCCAAAGCCUCUACCUUAUCUGACAUGGCCCAGGCCCCCAGGUAAGCAGAGACACUCUUAUCAGACAUGACAUUCCAGUGGCCUAGAGGUCACCUCCUAGGAGCCCAAAAAAGAGGCCAGACCUCUCUUUGGAUAAGAUUAACUCUUUACUAAACAAGAGUUUAAACUGUUGGUCUUUUAAACCUAUUCCCAAACAUGGUUCAAUCCACAUUAACAAAUUAUCCUCAUGAUACAAAGCAAGGAAAGAGGAGUUCCUGCUGUGGCUCAGGGGGUUAAGAACUUGACUAGUAUCCAUGAGGAUUCGGGUUCAAUCCCUGGCCUCGCUCAGUGGGUUAAAGGAUCUGGUGUUGCCACAAGCUGUGGUGUAGAUCGCAGACACAGCUCAGAUCCCAAGUUGCUGUGGCUGCGUCGUAGGCCAGCAGCUACAGCUCCAAUUCGACCCUUAGCCGGGAAACUUCCAUAUGCCAUGGGUGUGGCCCUUAAAAAAUAAAAAACAGCAGAAUCUACUUUUGGAGAGUCUCCUUGGGGGGACCUUUUGAUCCACUGAGUAGGUUCUCUCACAGCUGCAGUGAGAGAGGCCACAUCCUGCCCUUUUCCAACUUUUUUCCCUGGAUUUUGGGGGUCCAUGUAGCCUCAAGCCUAGAGCCUUCUGAGGAUUGAUUGCUGCCUCUCUGGUUUAAAUAUGUUGAUUUUCAAAGCAACUGAAAACAUCUUUUAAGUGACAAAAGUAAACUGUGUUUAUGGAUUUAAAAGGUAGAAUUAAUUAAAAAUUAUCAAGGACCUGUUUUGAAAAGUUUUAAAAUAUGUAUUCGAAGACCAUCUUCUCACUAUGAAGUCAUUUUCCUACUAGAUUUAAGAGUACAGAUGUGGGAGUUCCUGUCAUGGCGCAGUGGUUAACGAAUCCGACGAGGAACCAUGAGGUUGCAGGUUCGAUCCCUGGCCUUGCUCAGUGGGUUAAGGAUCCGGUGUUGCUGUGGCUCUGGUGUAGGCCGGCGGCUACAGCCCUGAUUAGACCCCUAGCCUGGGAACCUCCAUAUGCCGCGGGAGCAGCCCUAGAAAAGGCAAAAAGAC
This 1186-nucleotide long non-coding RNA is filed under the name Sus scrofa (pig). RNAcentral's name for it is "lncRNA (ENSSSCG00060076631.1)". Lineage: Eukaryota; Metazoa; Chordata; Mammalia; Artiodactyla; Suidae. The record is from RNAcentral.